Molecule: transfer RNA, 64 nt
Filed under: Niponiella limbatella
Lineage: Eukaryota; Metazoa; Arthropoda; Insecta; Plecoptera; Perlidae
Description: tRNA-Glu
Rfam family: tRNA
About the family: Transfer RNA (tRNA) molecules are approximately 80 nucleotides in length.
Source: RNAcentral
AUUUAUGUAGUUUAAAUAAAACAUUACAUUUUCAUUGUAAAAUUAAAGUACUCUUUCAUAAAUU